CCAGACUCCUACGGGAGGCAGCAGUGGGGAAUAUUGGGCAAUGGGCGCAAGCCUGACCCAGCAACGCCGCGUGAAGGAAGAAGGCUUUCGGGUUGUAAACUUCUUUUAAGAGGGACGAGACAAAUGACGGUACCUCUUGAAUAAGCCACGGCUAACUACGUGCCAGCAGCCGCGGUAAUACGUAGGUGGCAAGCGUUAUCCGGAUUUAUUGGGUGUAAAGGGCGUGUAGGCGGGAAAGCAAGUCAGAUGUGAAAACUAUGGGCUCAACCCAUAGCCUGCAUUUGAAACUGUUUUUCUUGAGUGCUGGAGAGGCAAUCGGAAUUCCGUGUGUAGCGGUGAAAUGCGUAGAUAUUAGGAGGAACACCAGUGGCGAAGGCGGCCUACUGGACGGUGACUGACGCUGAGGCUCGAAAGCGUGGGGAGCAAACAGGAUUAGAUACCCCAGUAAUG
Molecule: ribosomal RNA, 450 nt
Filed under: uncultured bacterium
Lineage: Bacteria
Description: bacterial SSU rRNA
Rfam family: Bacterial small subunit ribosomal RNA
Source: RNAcentral